This is a long non-coding RNA of Harpia harpyja (harpy eagle), 1743 nucleotides long. RefSeq lists it as uncharacterized. Lineage: Eukaryota; Metazoa; Chordata; Aves; Accipitriformes; Accipitridae. The record is from RefSeq and is a predicted model, not a curated record. The transcript is spliced from 2 exons.
GUCAGUACAAAGCUGAAGGGAUUUUGUUAGCAAUGGCAAAAAUUACAUUUACUGGGCUGUACCCUUUUGCUCCUGGGCAAGUAAAAGGCAGCCUUUCUUGCAUAUCCCUCUACCCUGCUGCUUGAAGCUGUUGCUGCUGAAGCCUAAUUCUGGCAGAGAAGUCUUUAGCUCCUGCCAUCAUGUCCAUCAAUGUACCUGAGCUGUGAGCAUGCAGAAGCAGGAGCUCGACCUGUGCAAGCCUCGGAUGCUGCCUCUGACACUGGGAUGGAUGGGAUGCCCUCAGCCACCAGUGCCACCCUCCUGUGCUCCAGUCGUGCCACCAUGCAGUCCUAACUGGAACGUGGCUGGUGGAAGAGCCCUGCUUCUAUAAGGUUACCCUUUGGCUUUCUUUUGACACCUUUCAUCACGUUUCCAGGAUCUGAGAAUUCCUGGAGAAAAGGAUACAAGUUUUUUCAAAUUCUCCAGACACAGCUUGGCUGCAGUGAAGCAACUGGACAUUGUGAAUACAGAAGGGAAGGCAUGUACUGUCUGGAUUAUUAAUUUCCAGGGGAAAGGAAAAGGUUAAUUUACAAAAAUGAAAAAGAAAUGACUCAUUGUCAAGCUGAAAAAAGAAGUGAACAUGAAGAAUUUUGGCAUUUAUGACUCUUGUUGUCAUAGAAACUGAACUUGAUAUUUCCAUAGAGCAAUCCGUAGAGGUAACAAAUACUGUACUUUAUAGCGGUGAUGAAUUAAGAUCAACUUAAGAUUUCCAAUACAUUGUCAAGCAGAUCAAAUACAGGUUUAUUUUGUAUUGCCAAGUUGUUAUCAGAGCCCUUAAAAACCAUUGGCGAUAUAUUUAAAUGAAACCUAUCUGGUAUUUGCAGGCUAUUAUUAGAAUUUAGAGUGGCUGGGGGAGAGAUAUUACAAUAGCCUAGCAAAAAAGUUCUCAAAUUUCCAUCAGAAAAGAGCAUGUCUUAUGGGACACAUCUCUUGUUUGCCAUCACACAAUCUCCUCUGGCACCUAAGCAAUGACCUGCAUAGAAAACAGUUCUGUGCAGUUUUGUGGAUCUUGAGGGCAGUUUCUGAGACUGAAAUGAAAAGGGGACCCAGCGCGAGAGGACUGACCAGUUCUCAGGACAGCACAGCUCAGGACCUGCUGGCUUCUCUGAGGCCUUACAUAUUAGGUCUUUUGGCAGCUGAUACGACAGACGUUGCUUGGGUUCCCCAAAUUCUACUUAUCUGUGUAGACCUAUUAAAAGUAUGGUGGUGCCACAUCCAGGAUCUGAGGAUUUCAGCUAGUUUAGCAUAUCCCAGUGUGGCCACCGGGUAGCUGAGACCACUGGAGACAUAUACUAAAAGGAUUUUUUUUGACCAUUUUGAUCAUGAACCAUUACCUCCCACAUAGUUAUGACUGCAGGGCUUCUCUGAACGUGGUUCUGUUUCAAGGUGAGCACUUCUUUCAAAAAAAAAAAAACACAUCACAUUUGAUUUUAAAAAUUCCAGUAAUGGAUAACUUAUCACAAUUCUUUGUAUAUUAUUCCUCUUUAUUUUAAUAUACAAACAAGAAAUCCUGCAACCCCCGAACUAUUCUUAUUCUUAAAUUAGCUUUAUUUCCUAUCUGGAUACUUUUUUGUGCUUUAUUAAGUAGGUUGGAGAAUCUUCUGUCAAAGUUAUGUUCCAUUUGUUGUUCAAAGUUGGAAGUUGUGAUCAAGAUAGACAUUUACCUUUUCUUUGGUAAGUAAAAUGUUGACUUCCUAAGCAGUC